GAUGAAGAACGUAGUGAAAUGCGAUAAGUAGUGUGAAUUGCAGAAUUCAGUGAAUCAUCGAAUCUUUGAACGCACAUUGCGCCCCUUGGUAUUCCAUGGGGCAUGCCUGUUCGAGCGUCAUUGCUGCCCUCAAGCACGGCUUGUGUGUUGGGCCCCGUCCUCCGAUCCCGGGGGACGGGCCCGAAAGGCAGCGGCGGCACCGCGUCCGGUCCUCGAGCGUAUGGGGCUUUGUCACCCGCUCUGUAGGCCCGGCCGGCGCUUGCCGAUCAACCCAAAUUUUUAUCCAGGUUGACCUCGGAUCAGGUAGGGAUACCCGCUGAACUUAAGCAUAUCAAUAAGCGGAGGA
RNAcentral lists this unclassified non-coding RNA (346 nucleotides) under soil metagenome. RNAcentral describes it as "partial contains 5.8S ribosomal RNA, internal transcribed spacer 2, and large subunit ribosomal RNA". The stretch from base 1 to 120 matches the Rfam family "5.8S ribosomal RNA", at positions 35 to 154 of the family's 154-position model. The record is from RNAcentral.